CUUAGAUAAUGCUGCAGUUGGUGGAAAUGAUGAACAUUUAAAAUGUUAACACCCUGUGAAUGCAUUGGAUUUAAGAGAAUAAACUUUUUGUAAAAAUCACUUGUAAAGAUUAUAAACUUAAUUACUGCACUUAAAAUGAAACAUUGCUUUUUUUUUUUGUAGUGUGUCACAGAUGUAGGCUCAGAUUACUUGUAUGCUUGUGUGAUUUAUUGUUAGACCACCCAGUUCUAAACAUCUAAAAAGAUUGUUUUGUUUUGUUUGUGGUGCUGGGGAUCAAACAAAGCCAGGGCUUCCCUCACCACAUGCUAUCCGAGGGCUCUACAGUGAACUAUAUACCCCUGGCCCUAAAGAUUCUAACUGAAACACAAGAAGGAAGUUUUCUUUUUGAAGAAAACAAAUAUAUUCUUUCUUUUUCUCUAGACAUUAUUGAAGUUUAAAGACGUGACCAGUUUUUAAUUUGUUUGAAGUUAUAAUAUUUUUAAUAUAACUUGCCUCAUUACGUGUAAUAGUUCCCAUUUGAUGGGAUAUAUAGGGAAGAAUGUGUGCGUGUGUAUGCGUAUAAAAUAUAUAUAUUCACAGUCUGUAUUGUUUAUUUUAUUAUAGCAGAUUUAGGGUUUGUAUCUAAAUGAUGAUGCCUGUGAGUUAUGUGAAACUGUUGACGACUUUUUUCCCAGCAUUACUCUGAUGAGGCUCAACAUUUCCUUGGGCUCUUGAAGGCUAAAAUUAGGUAGAAAUGAUAUUGAAUGUAUGGUACAAUGAUCUGCCGUAGUUGUUACUGCAUGAAGAGAAAAACUCACACAAUCUUAUCACCUCGCACUUCAUAGAGAAGGUUUGUUCCCAUUGUCACCCCCCCCCCAACCCGCCGCCACCACCAAUGAUACGACACAUGCUCAUGCAUAAAAUGUUACAAUGAGUACAUCCUUGUAUUUGUAUGUUUUCAACAUUGCCAAGGUGCUAUGGG
RNAcentral lists this long non-coding RNA (961 nucleotides) under Heterocephalus glaber (naked mole-rat). RNAcentral describes it as "lncRNA (ENSHGLG00100047890.1)". The record is from RNAcentral. Lineage: Eukaryota; Metazoa; Chordata; Mammalia; Rodentia; Bathyergidae.